GGGUGCUCGCAUUCGUUGGCAAAGUCGCCUGUUUGUACAUUCUCCAGUUGUAAGGAGGUACAUAAAUCUUGACGUAUAUAUAUCUAUGAACCAAACCCCUUAAAUCAUGUGAUUUGUGUCGAUACAUCAGUGCAAGAAGUUGAAUCUAGGGCCCUUGUCUUGUCCCCUGACUUUUGAAUAACGGGUUCUAUCUCAAAAUUUCUCCCAAGGAAGUGUGUUUGUAUG
This 225-nucleotide unclassified non-coding RNA is filed under the name Hevea brasiliensis (rubber tree). Lineage: Eukaryota; Viridiplantae; Streptophyta; Magnoliopsida; Malpighiales; Euphorbiaceae. The record is from RNAcentral.